This 451-nucleotide long non-coding RNA is filed under the name Pseudomonas phage vB_PaeM_PA5oct. RNAcentral's name for it is "putative lncRNA". Lineage: Duplodnaviria; Heunggongvirae; Uroviricota; Caudoviricetes; Arenbergviridae. The record is from RNAcentral.
AGCAUAACGCAUUGUAGGCAACACUAAACGGGAGACACCGUCCCGCAAGCAGCCCGCGCGCGGCGCAGGCGGCGAGCAUACAGGUGUACAAGGUCUAGUAACGUGGAAGGCGCAGCAUACCUUUCCCUAAAUCGGAAAUUGGUCAAUGACGUACCUGCCCCUAGACACUGCUAGACCUUGCUGCUACAAGCGGGACAGCUACAAAGGUACACUGUAUGUAUCUAUGCUUUACCCCGCUUUGUAGCAGGUCUUAAAACGGUCUACUGGCAUAUGCUUUAGUGCUAGUAGGAAUCAUUAACUUACAACUAUUAUAUGCUUCCUGGAGGUGAAGAGUAUGCCGCCGCAGCAUUGAUUAGAUUAUAUAAUAUUUAUAUAAUAAAUGCCGAAACACCUCUUCGAUUCGUUUAAAAGACAGUUGUCUGAAUUGAAUGUUUUUCGGGCAAAAGGUCCC